GACGAACGCUGGCGGCGUGCUUAACACAUGCAAGUCGAACGGAAAGGCCCUGCUUUUGUGGGGUGCUCGAGUGGCGAACGGGUGAGUAACACGUGAGUAACCUGCCCUUGACUUUGGGAUAACUUCAGGAAACUGGGGCGAAUACCGGAUAGGAGCGCCUGCUGCAUGGUGGGGGUUGGAAAGUCUCGGCGGUUGGGGAUGGACUGGCGGCUUAUCAGCUUGUUGGUGGGGAAGUGGCUUACCAAGGCCUUGACGGGUAGCCGGCCUGGGAGGGUGACCGGCCACAUUGGGACUGAGAUACGGCCCAGACUCCUACGGGAGGCAGGAGUGGGGAAUAUUGCACAAUGGGCGGAAGGCUGAUGCAGCAACGCCGCGUGCGGGAUGACGGCCUUCGGGUUGUAAACCGCUUUCGCCUGUGACGAAGCGUGAGUGACGGUAAUGGGUAAAGAAGCACCGGCUAACUACGUG
This 468-nucleotide ribosomal RNA is filed under the name uncultured bacterium. RNAcentral's name for it is "partial 16S ribosomal RNA". It matches the Rfam family "Bacterial small subunit ribosomal RNA", at positions 28 to 507 of the family's 1533-position model. The record is from RNAcentral.